UACGGAGGGUGCAAGCGUUAUCCGGAAUCACUGGGUUUAAAGGGUGCGUAGGCGGCCAGAUAAGUCAGAGGUGAAAGUUUCCGGCUCAACCGGGAGAUUGCCUUUGAUACUGUUUGGCUUGAAUCAGAUUGAGGUUGGCGGAAUGUGACAUGUAGCGGUGAAAUGCAUAGAUAUGUCAUAGAACAUCGAUUGCGAAGGCAGCUGGCUGGAUCUGUAUUGACGCUGAGGCACGAAAGCGUGGGGAGCAAACAGG
RNAcentral lists this non-coding RNA (253 nucleotides) under bacterium. RNAcentral describes it as "partial 16S ribosomal RNA". It matches the Rfam family "Bacterial small subunit ribosomal RNA", at positions 524 to 776 of the family's 1533-position model. The record is from RNAcentral. RNAcentral also lists the same sequence under 3 other names.